Molecule: long non-coding RNA, 742 nt
Filed under: Rattus norvegicus (Norway rat)
Lineage: Eukaryota; Metazoa; Chordata; Mammalia; Rodentia; Muridae
Description: long non-coding RNA NONRATT013143
Source: RNAcentral
CCGUGUCCCUGCACAUGUGGUGGCUGCUAUUGACGUGAGCACUGUUGCUAACGAAGUAUACAAGCAUAACUUCCCUCAUACACACUUACUGGCAAAGACAAUCGAAGGUAUUUCACUGGAAGAGUUUGACAAGCUAUCUUUCAAUAUGAUUUUAAUGAGCCCUCCAUGUCAGCCAUUCACAAGAAUUGGCCUACAGGGGGACAUGAGUGAUCGAAGGACAAAUAGCUUCUUGUAUAUUCUAGAUAUUCUCCCAAGGUUACAGAAGUUACCCAAGUAUAUUCUUUUAGAAAAUGUCAAAGGGUUUGAAGUUUCUUCUACAAGAGGGCUGCUGAUACAAACAAUGGAAGCCUGCGGCUUUCAGUAUCAAGAGUUUCUGUUGUCUCCGUCCUCUGGUAUUAGGUUGCAAGAAUUGCUUUCAUUUCAUGUAAGAAAUCAAACACUUGUUUUUUGAAAGACUGAUUUUUCUAGGCAUUCCAAACUCAAGGCUACGGUAUUUUCUCAUUGCGAAGCUUCAGUCAGAGCCUCUCUGUUUCCAGGCCCCUGGCCAGUGCAGUAAUGAUGAGUUAGAAGCUAACGUCAAAUUCUCAACUGCCAAGCUGGGAUUCUUGAUGCUGAAAGGUUUCCUUGAAGAUGGUGACACAGCUCAGUACCUUCUGCCAGCGAAGUCGCUGCUGCGCUACGCUCUCCUCCUCGACAUCGUUAAGCCCACCUCCAGGAGGUCCAUGUGCUUCACUAAAGGGUA